RNAcentral lists this ribosomal RNA (125 nucleotides) under Tremellales sp. RNAcentral describes it as "partial small subunit ribosomal RNA". It matches the Rfam family "Eukaryotic small subunit ribosomal RNA", at positions 1657 to 1779 of the family's 1831-position model. The record is from RNAcentral. Lineage: Eukaryota; Fungi; Basidiomycota; Tremellomycetes; Tremellales.
CCUUUGUACACACCGCCCGUCGCUACUACCGAUUGAAUGGCUUAGUGAGAUCUCCGGAUUGGCGUUGAGAAGCCGGCAACGGCAUCUCUUGGCCGAGAAGCUGAUCAAACUUGGUCAUUUAGAGG